AGAGGCCCUCUGUGGCUGGGGCAGGAUGCUUGCCUCAUCAUCACGGCGACAAAGCAAGCAUUCCGCCAGGCCGCUCACGCUGCCUGC
Myotis brandtii (Brandt's bat) is the source of this 87-nucleotide non-coding RNA. NCBI's taxonomy places the organism in Eukaryota, Metazoa, Chordata, Mammalia, Chiroptera, Vespertilionidae. The record is from Rfam.